This 500-nucleotide ribosomal RNA is filed under the name Bacillus sp. AUPU-4. RNAcentral describes it as "bacterial SSU rRNA". It matches the Rfam family "Bacterial small subunit ribosomal RNA", at positions 135 to 620 of the family's 1533-position model. The record is from RNAcentral. Lineage: Bacteria; Bacillati; Bacillota; Bacilli; Caryophanales; Bacillaceae.
AGACUGGGAUAACUCCGGGAAACCGGGGCUAAUACCGGAUAACAUUUUGAACCGCAUGGUUCGAAAUUGAAAGGCGGCUUCGGCUGUCACUUAUGGAUGGACCCGCGUCGCAUUAGCUAGUUGGUGAGGUAACGGCUCACCAAGGCAACGAUGCGUAGCCGACCUGAGAGGGUGAUCGGCCACACUGGGACUGAGACACGGCCCAGACUCCUACGGGAGGCAGCAGUAGGGAAUCUUCCGCAAUGGACGAAAGUCUGACGGAGCAACGCCGCGUGAGUGAUGAAGGCUUUCGGGUCGUAAAACUCUGUUGUUAGGGAAGAACAAGUGCUAGUUGAAUAAGCUGGCACCUUGACGGUACCUAACCAGAAAGCCACGGCUAACUACGUGCCAGCAGCCGCGGUAAUACGUAGGUGGCAAGCGUUAUCCGGAAUUAUUGGGCGUAAAGCGCGCGCAGGUGGUUUCUUAAGUCUGAUGUGAAAGCCCACGGCUCAACCGUGGAG